Molecule: ribosomal RNA, 673 nt
Filed under: Vairimorpha ceranae
Lineage: Eukaryota; Fungi; Microsporidia; Nosematidae
Description: SSU rRNA
Rfam family: Microsporidia small subunit ribosomal RNA
Source: RNAcentral
GUAUAUGAGGUGAUUAAUUGGAGGGCAAAUCAAGUGCCAGCAGCCGCGGUAAUACUUGUUCCAAGAGUGUGUAUGAUGAUUGAUGCAGUUAAAAAGUCCGUAGUUUAUUUUUUUAAGAAGCAAUAAGAGGUGUACUGUAUAGUUGGGAGAAAGAUGAAAUGUGACGACCCUGACUGGACGAACAGAAGCGAAAGCUGUACACUUGUAUGUAUUUUUUGAACAAGGACGUAAGCUGGAGGAGCGAAGAUGAUUAGAUACCAUUGUAGUUCCAGCAGUAAACUAUGCCGACGAUGUGACAUGAAAAUGUUAAUUUGUAUUACAUAAUAGAAAUUUGAGUUUUUUGGCUCUGGGGAUAGUAUGAUCGCAAGAUUGAAAAUUAAAGAAAUUGACGGAAGAAUACCACAAGGAGUGGAUUGUGCGGCUUAAUUUGACUCAACGCGAGGUAACUUACCAAUAUUUUAUUAUUUUGAGAGAACGGUUUUUGUUUGAGAAUGAUAAUAGUGGUGCAUGGCCGUUUUCAAUGGAUGCUGUGAAGUUUUGAUUAAUUUCAACAAGACGUGAGACCCUUAUUUUUUAUUAAAGACAGACACAAUCAGUGUAGGAAGGAAAGGAUUAAAACAGGUCCGUUAUGCCCUCUGACAUUUUGGGCUGCACGCGCAAUACAAUAGAUAUA